RNAcentral lists this small RNA (106 nucleotides) under Marmota monax (woodchuck). Lineage: Eukaryota; Metazoa; Chordata; Mammalia; Rodentia; Sciuridae. The record is from RNAcentral.
GCCGGGUGUGGUGGUGCAGACCUGUGAUCCCAGCUACUUGGGAGGCUGAGGCAGGAGGAUGGCAAGUUUGAGGUCAGCCUCAGCAACUUACAAGAGCCCAUCUCAA